UGUCGCGUGAGGGAUGAAUGCCUUUGGGUUGUAAACCUCUUUUUUCAGGGAGGAAUAAAUGACUUGUACCUGAAGAAUAACCGUCCGCUAACUCCGUGCCAGCGGCCGCGA
RNAcentral lists this ribosomal RNA (111 nucleotides) under uncultured eukaryote. RNAcentral's name for it is "partial 16S ribosomal RNA". It matches the Rfam family "Bacterial small subunit ribosomal RNA", at positions 395 to 520 of the family's 1533-position model. The record is from RNAcentral.